UUUCGAUAUAUAAAUGGAUUCGUUGCCUUCCGUCCAUAACUUGAGUUGAGCUACCAAACAAAGUAACAUUGUGCUAACAUUUACCAUUAACUCUUCCUUUACUUUUGCCUUUGUGUUUAUCAAUUUUAACAAAUUCACUUAAUAAUCACCAUCAUGAAGCUAUUCAUAUUUACUAUUUGUGUUGCUGGUUUUGCAGCGGUUGUACUCACUGCACCAACUGACACUUCCCAUACCCACACUCAUGCCGAAUCAACCAAUGAAACUGCUCACUCUGCCGGUCAUACACAUUCCCAUGAACACCAUAAUCACACCGAUGAAGGAUCCCAUUCUGGCCAUCAUGAAAUUAGUUUCCACCAUGGCCAUGAUCACGGCCAUGAUCAUCAUCAUCAUAAUUCACAUGCUAAUCAUUCUCAUGAGAGUGAUCAUUACGAAAAUGAUGGACACACUGCACACAAGCCUGGUGAUAAUGUUCACUCCCUUGAUCUUCACAUCAAAUGUCAUGGAGAGUACUCACCAUCUACUGAAUGUGCCAAUGGAACCAAUUCAUCUGAUAUUUUCUGGUUUGACAUGACUCGAAAUGUUUGCAACAAAUACGAAGUUGGUAAGUGCCCAUCAGCUGGAAGUAAAAACGUAUUCUCCUGCAUGGAUGAUUGUUUGAAAUGUAUCACUGAUGGUAACGCUAUUCAAGGAGCAGAACCUACUAUAGCUGUCCGAGCUGCACCUUCAACUGUUUCUGCAAGCACACCAAUGGCCACUUCACCAGCUCCAAGCACUGCAGCUAAACCAAGCUCAACUACUGCCGCCCCAAGUUCAACAACCACUGCUGCUGCUGCAAGUACAACUGCUGCCGCUAGUACAG
This 859-nucleotide long non-coding RNA is filed under the name Lupinus mutabilis. RNAcentral describes it as "partial ncRNA". Lineage: Eukaryota; Viridiplantae; Streptophyta; Magnoliopsida; Fabales; Fabaceae. The record is from RNAcentral.